This 446-nucleotide ribosomal RNA is filed under the name uncultured bacterium. RNAcentral's name for it is "bacterial SSU rRNA". It matches the Rfam family "Bacterial small subunit ribosomal RNA", at positions 329 to 792 of the family's 1533-position model. The record is from RNAcentral.
CCCCAGACUCCUACGGGAGGCAGCAGUGGGGAAUAUUGCACAAUGGGGGAAACCCUGAUGCAGCGACGCCGCGUGAAGGAAGAAGUAUUUCGGUAUGUAAACUUCUAUCAGCAGGGAAGAAAAUGACGGUACCUGACUAAGAAGCCCCGGCUAACUACGUGCCAGCAGCCGCGGUAAUACGUAGGGGGCAAGCGUUAUCCGGAUUUACUGGGUGUAAAGGGAGCGUAGACGGCAGCGCAAGUCUGAAGUGAAAUCCCGUGGCUUAACCAUGGAACUGCUUUGGAAACUGAGCAGCUAGAGUGCAGGAGAGGUAAGCGGAAUUCCUAGUGUAGCGGUGAAAUGCGUAGAUAUUAGGAGGAACACCAGUGGCGAAGGCGACUUACUGGACUGUAACUGACGUUGAGGCUCGAAAGCGUGGGGAGCAAACAGGAUUAGAUACCCGCGUA